AGUUAACAGUAAAAAAGGAGAUUUUUAACAGAAACCUUUGCUCUUCAGUUUGCUAUUCUCAUUUCAAGGAAUUUUCUGUGCAAUGAAGAAUUGAGAAGCCUGCCUACGAGCCUUAUAAAUGGGAGACACAUAAAAUAGCAAUAACCCUGUGACGUAGGCUGGGCUGAGAAAGAGUGAGUUGCCUAAGCCAGCUUUCAUGUAUAAGUACUGGAUACUAUUGGAAAUAUUUGGCUCAGAAUUAAGACUUCCCUGGAUCUAGAAGAAUUGCGUGUCUACAGGCUCUGGAUACAACUGAAUAAAACAAGUUCCAAUUUAGAA
Pantherophis guttatus is the source of this 318-nucleotide long non-coding RNA. RefSeq lists it as uncharacterized. The record is from RefSeq and is a predicted model, not a curated record. NCBI's taxonomy places the organism in Eukaryota, Metazoa, Chordata, Lepidosauria, Squamata, Colubridae.